GAUGAACGCUGGCGGCGUGCCUAAUACGUGCAAGUCGAGCGAAUGGAUUAAGAGCUUGCUCUUAUGAAGUUAGCGGCGGACGGGUGAGUAACACGUGGGUAACCUGCCCAUAAGACUGGGAUAACUCCGGGAAACCGGGGCUAAUACCGGAUAAUAUUUUGAACUGCAUGGUUCAAAAUUGAAAGGCGGCUUCGGCUGUCACUUAUGGAUGGACCCGCGUCGCAUUAGCUAGUUGGUGAGGUAACGGCUCACCAAGGCAACGAUGCGUAGCCGAACUGAGAGGGUGAUCGGCCACACUGGGACUGAGACACGGCCCAGACUCCUACGGGAGGCAGCAGUAGGGAAUCUUCCGCAAUGGACGAAAGUCUGACGGAGCAACGCCGCGCGAGUGAUGAAGGCUUUCGGGUCGUAAAACUCUGUUGUUAGGGAAGAACAAGUGCUAGUUGAAUAAGCUGGCACCUUGACGGUACCUAACCAGAAAGCCACGGCUAACUACGUGCCAGCCGCCGCAGUAA
RNAcentral lists this ribosomal RNA (515 nucleotides) under uncultured bacterium. RNAcentral describes it as "partial 16S ribosomal RNA". It matches the Rfam family "Bacterial small subunit ribosomal RNA", at positions 28 to 523 of the family's 1533-position model. The record is from RNAcentral.